GGGUCUGUAGUCUAGCUUGGUAGGACUCCGGCUUCGGGAGCCGGGAGCCUGAGUUCAAAUCUCAGCGGACCCA
This 73-nucleotide transfer RNA is filed under the name Candidatus Aenigmatarchaeota archaeon. RNAcentral's name for it is "tRNA-Pro". It matches the Rfam family "tRNA". From Rfam's summary of the family: Transfer RNA (tRNA) molecules are approximately 80 nucleotides in length. Their secondary structure includes four short double-helical elements and three loops (D, anti-codon, and T loops). The record is from RNAcentral. Lineage: Archaea; Nanobdellati; Candidatus Aenigmatarchaeota.